ACGUACACUCCUACGGGAGGCAGCAGUGGGGAAUAUUGCACAAUGGGCGCAAGCCUGAUGCAGCCAUGCCGCGUGUAUGAAGAAGGCCUUCGGGUUGUAAAGUACUUUCAGCGGGGAGGAAGGCGAUAAGGUUAAUAACCUUGUCGAUUGACGUUACCCGCAGAAGAAGCACCGGCUAACUCCGUGCCAGCAGCCGCGGUAAUACGGAGGGUGCAAGCGUUAAUCGGAAUUACUGGGCGUAAAGCGCACGCAGGCGGUCUGUCAAGUCGGAUGUGAAAUCCCCAGGCUCAACCUGGGAACUGCAUUCGAAACUGGCAGGCUAGAGUCUUGUAGAGGGGGGUAGAAUUCCAGGUGUAGCGGUGAAAUGCGUAGAGAUCUGGAGGAAUACCGGUGGCGAAGGCGGCCCCCUGGACAAAGACUGACGCUCAGGUGCGAAAGCGUGGGGAGCAAACAGGAUUAGAUACCCCAGUAGUCCCAUGA
RNAcentral lists this ribosomal RNA (480 nucleotides) under uncultured organism. RNAcentral describes it as "partial 16S ribosomal RNA". It matches the Rfam family "Bacterial small subunit ribosomal RNA", at positions 329 to 800 of the family's 1533-position model. The record is from RNAcentral.